RNAcentral lists this long non-coding RNA (33290 nucleotides) under Capsicum annuum. RNAcentral's name for it is "long non-coding RNA (CANN_LNC003577)". Lineage: Eukaryota; Viridiplantae; Streptophyta; Magnoliopsida; Solanales; Solanaceae. The record is from RNAcentral.
GCUGCUGCUGCACCAUCUGUAGAUGUUGAGUCUGUUAGCACUAUGCCACCUUCUGCGUUGGAUCCCCAGGUUUUCGAACAGUUCAGACAGUUCUUCGUUUCUAAUCCUACGGCCAUGUCAGCAUCUAUGUCUCAUUCGGGUUCAGUUUCUUCUAGUACCUCAGGUAUUCCUUCCUCCUUGUGGAUAUUGGAUUCUGGUGCGUCUCAUCACAUGUCCCCUCAUUUGUCAUCGUUUGGUUCUUUGUCACCCAUUUCACCAAUCUCUGUUAUGUCCGCGAGUGCUGUACCUAUGUCAGUCGAGGGUGUUGGUUCUGUUACUACCCCUCACAUUGUCCUCUCUGAUGUUUAUUACAUUCCCAAACUUGCUUUAAAUCUUGUUUCGGUCAGUCAGUUGUGUAAGGCUGGUAAUUGGGUGUUUUUUUCUGAUUCUGUUUGUGUUAUACAGGACCAACACACUCAGAGGGUGAUUGGGACCGGCCGUAGGUUGGGGGAACUCUAUGUCUUGGAGAAUCUCAAAGUGUCUGUAGUUGCUGCCUCUAGCAUAGAUUUAUCUUCUUUUCGUUUGAGUCCUUUGUCUUCUCAGUUUUAUCUUUGGCAUUCCAGAUUAGGACAUGUGUCAGUUUCACGUUUACGUUUUUUGGUCUCUAGUGGUGCUUUGGGUCAUGUGAACACUAGUGAUAUUUCAGAUUGUAGUGGUUGUAAACUGGCAAAAUUUUCUGCCUUACCGUUUAAUAAAAGUGUGUCUUAUUCUGUUGCUCCUUUUGAUAUUAUUCAUUCUGAUGUAUGGGGACCAGCGCCAGUAUCCACUAAGGGUGGAUCGACCUAUUAUGUUUCGUUUAUAGAUGACUAUACUCGUUAUACCUGGGUGUAUCUUAUGAAACGCAGAUCUGAUUUCUUUGGCAUUUACAACAACUUUAGAGCCCUUGUUAAAACACAACAUUCGGCUGUGAUAAAGUGUUUCAGGUGUGACUUAGGGGGUGAAUAUACCUCUAAUGACUUCACUCAGUUACUUGCCUCUGAUGGUACCAUACACCAGUCAUCUUGUACCGACACUCCUGAGCAGAACGGUCUGGCAGAAAGAAAACAUCGUCAUAUUGUUGAGACAGCACGCUCUUUACUUUUGUCUGCAGAGGUUCCUAGUAUUUUUUGGGGAGAAGCAGUUCUAACUGCUGUAUAUGUGAUUAAUCGUAUUCCUACUGCAUUGACUUCAGGGAUGUCUCCGUUUGAGAAACUAUAUGGUCACCCGCCGAAUUAUUCUGCAUUACGAGUUUUUGGAUGUACUUGCUUUGUUCUUCGUCCUCAUGUUGAACGAAAUAAGUUAGGGUCAAAAUCAGCUAUAUGUGUGUUUUUGGGGUAUGGUAUUGGACAAAAAGGAUAUCGUUGCUAUGAUCCUGUAAGUCAGAAAUUAUAUGUUUCACGACAUGUCACUUUUUUGGAACAUAUUCCUUUUUAUUCCAUUCCAGCUAAAACCCAUGAUGUGACAAAGUCAGAUAUUCGGCUUAUUGAUCCCUUUGGGAUUGACAUAGAGGUUCCAGUUCCGGAUUCAUCCAUGCCAUCUGGUGUGCCACCUGAUAGUGCUUCAGCCUCGCCUGUGCCUGAGUCUGCUCCUUCGACUGUUGAGACUGGAGACCCACCACCUCUGAGGAGGUCUACUCGACCUUGUAAGUCCACCAAACUGCCAGAUUUUUACUAUUCUACAUAUUCAGCCUCAUUUGCUUCCUUUAUUGCAAACAUACAUCAUUUGUCUGAACCUGAGUCGUAUAGAGAGGCUGUGUCUGAUCCUCUUUGGCAGAAUGCUAUGGCUGAGGAACUUGCUGCUCUUCAUCAUACACAUACAUGGGAUUUGGUUACUCUCCCACCUGGUAAGCAUGCGAUUGGUUGUCGAUGGGUGUAUAAGAUAAAAACAAAAUCUGAUGGGUCUGUUGAGCGAUACAAGGCAAGACUUGUGGCAAAAGGGUAUUCACAACAAUAUGGUAUGGAUUAUGAGGAGACUUUUUCCCCCGUAGCAAAGAUGACGACUGUUCGCACUAUGAUUGCUGUUGCAUCCGUUCGACAGUGGAAGAUAUUUCAGAUGGAUGUCAAGAAUGCUUUUCUGAAUGGUGAUCUCCACGCGGAAGUUUAUAUGACUCCUCCCCCAGGUAUUGACCACCAGCCAGGUGAAGUUUGUCGGCUUCGAAAAGCUUUAUAUGGUCUCAAACAAGCCCCUCGUGCUUGGUUUGAGAAAUUCUCCACUGUUAUUACUUCCCUUGGAUUUGUCCCGAGUAACCAUGAUUCAGCAUUGUUUGUUAGAUGUACAAGUGCAGGGCGAAUUCUAUUGUCCUUAUAUGUAGAUGAUAUGAUUAUUACUGGUGAUGAUCAUAGUGGUAUUGAGUUAUUGAAGCAUGAUUUGGCUCAUCGAUUUGCAAUGAAGGACUUGGGCUUGCUGCGUUAUUUUCUGGGUAUUGAGGUGGCUCAGUCUAAGAAAGGGUAUCUUCUUUCUCAGACUAAGUAUAUAUCUGACUUGUUUACACGGGCGCGUCUUUCUGACAACAGGACUGUAGAUACUCCCCUUGAAACCAAUGCACGUUACUCUCCUAGUGAUGGUGUUCCAUUAUCAGAUCCGAGUCUUUAUCGGACUAUUGUGGGUAGUUUGGUUUAUCUUACGGUUACUCGUCCAGAUAUAGCACAUGCAGUUCAUGUUGUUAGCCAGUUUGUUACUGCUCCUACUUCUGUGCACUGGGGAGCUGUACUUCGUAUUCUAAGGUAUCUUCGUGGCACUCAGUUUCAGAAUCUCUUGUUUCCCUCGACGUCAUCUCUCGAGUUGCGAGCCUAUAGUGAUGCUGAUUGGGAUGGAGAUCGCAAUGAUCGUAAAUCCACCACUGGUUUUUGUGUGUUUCUUGGAGACUCUUUAAUCUCGUGGAAGAGCAAGAAACAAGAUGUUGUCUCUAGAUCUUCCACGGAGGCUGAGUAUCGUGCUAUGGCUGUGACUACAUGUGAGAUUAUUUGGUUACGUUGGCUUCUUGCAGAUAUGGGGGUUCACAUUUCUAUGCCUACUCCCCUGCAUUGUGAUAACAAAAGUGCGGUACAAAUUGCAAAGAAUUCUGUCUUCCAUGAGCGUACGAAGCACAUUGAGAUUGAUUGUCACUUCACCCGUCAUCAUUUACAGCUCGGGACCAUAUCGCUUCGCUCUUGACAAUUAAGAACUGAAUUACAAGGGUCUAUUGAAUGCAGUUUUACCCUGCAUUUGUGCAAGAGGUUCUUUUCCUGACUUGAGCCGGUGACCUCUUAAUCUCAUGACAACAGUUGCAAGAGGUUCUUUUCCUGGCUUGAGUCAGUGACCUCCUAAUCUUAUAACAGUUUUUUUGUAUUGAACUAAUAGUGUAAAGAUUUUCGUACGUUGAUAAUUGUAUUGCUCGGACUUUUUAAUAAUAUUACUGCACUCGUGUUGGAUCCUCAGUAAAUGAAUUACAUUUGGAGUAACUGUGUCUUACGUAUACUGACAGUUAUGUUGUUCAAACGUAACUAUCCAAGAAUAUUGUUGGUCCUGUGCCGACUCCUUCGAAAAUAAGUUCAUUUUUUGAAGAAUUCGACAGGUACUUGUUGACAUUCGAUAAUUUUAUUUUAUUUUCAAAAUAAUUUAUCAUCAAAAAGGGGGAAGGAUAUCUGAUGAGGUUAUGGAUUCUCAAUCCACUUACAAUAUUUUUUAUAACUAGACGAAUAAGAUUAAAAACAAAGAAAAGUUUCAAGUUUUCCAUGAUUCUUAAUUUAUCUAUUUUUUCUCAAUUUUCUUUUGUUUAUUUUCAUUUGGUUUUCUUCCAAAAAAGAAAAUAGUUUGAGAUAUUUCUAAAGAACAAAAAUCACUGUAUAUAUUUUGGGUAUAUUCUUGUUGUGUCAGUAUAUUUGUCUUUUUAUAUUAUGCCUAUCCCAUUUGUGUUGCCAAUUAUUCUAUGUUUGUCAUAUAUACCAGGGUCGGACCUAUCAACAUUUUUUCGUUUCGCUGCCCGUUAAAUUUGAGGUAGAUUAAGUAUUAUUAUAUUUAAAAAAAUACACAAAAAUUGAUAAAAGACUCAGAAAAGAACGCUCACUAAAUCAAGAAAAUAGACGGAUACUUUAAUUUUUAAGCAAAACCUCAAAGAUUUGGAUGGAUAUCAAUAUAUGUGUUCGAACCUCUCGAGCACCCACCACCACUAAAUCCUAGAACCGCCACUCAGGGGAGGACCCACGUACAUUUUUCGAGUGCUCAAGCACCCACUAAACUCGACGUAGAAGAGGUAUAAUUAUAUAAGAAAUAGUAAAAAAAAAUGAUAAAAUAUAUAAAAAAGCACCCAGAGAACAAAAGCAUGGCUGGAUGCUCUGCCUUUAGGCUUAACUUUCAUAUCUCUCAUCCUGGAAUCGAAUCCCUGCAUCUGCUGGACCCUUUAAUAAUUUUUUUUUAAAGCACUCACAGCCUAAAAUUGUUGGGACCGCCACUGCCACUAUAUCAUAGAGAUGAUAAUUCAACUCAUUUUGUUCCGACUCAACAGAUUUACGAUUAAUUACAUAAACAUCCUUUUACAAAUUUAUCCUAAUCAUAAGUAGUUUUAUGCUAAAUCCUCAAUUUAAUUCAAAGAUUGUUAUGUUACGAUUAUAAUUAGUAUAAAUAGAAACUUGUUAAUUAAUAUCACUUUUAAACAUAUUUUACCACAAAUAAUUCUCUAACGAAAGAAAACUAUGUAAAUGACUUCAUAUUAUUUGGCUUAGUGAAUUCAAGUAGGUCGAUUUUCUAAAAUUAUUUGACAUAGGAAUAUUCUAUAAUAAUUUUUCAAAUUUUCCAGGUUUUGGAGUUGGGAAUUUUGGUUCAUUCUGUGAUUAUUGGCAUUUCCCUUGGAACUACAGAAAAUCCAAAAACAAUCAAACCUUUAAUAAUUGCUUUGAGUUUUCAUCAAUUUUUUGAAGGCAUGGGACUUGGUGGCUGCAUCUCCCAGGUAAAAUUAGUAAAUUCUUUCUCUAAUUUCUUAUUAACAAACGUGACUACAUUUUCUUUAUUGUAUAGCAUUUGUGAUACAGUUAAACCUUUUUAUGACGCCAUUUGUCCAAAUCUUGGUGAAAAGUUGUUAGAAAGAACAUAUAAUAUAAUAUAACAUGAAAAAUCGAUUUCAAAAGAAAACUCAGAUAUGUUGUUAUAGAGAGAUCUAACAGUCAGGAGCGGAGCAAGCCCUUUGAUAGGAGGUUCGUCUGAACCCUCUUUGAUGAAAAAAUAUAUCAUUUUUACACAUGAUUAAAAUUAAUUUUUAUAUAUCUAUAGUAGGUGUUGAAAUAUUUGAACCCUCUUAGCUGAAAUUCUGGCUCCGCCUCUGCUGACAGUACAUGACAUAUGUGGAUGUGCAGGCAAAGUACAAGGCUAAAACAAUCACAAUUAUGGUGCUGUUCUUCACUCUUACAACUCCAACUGGAAUAGCUAUUGGAAUGAUGAUAACAAAAGGUUACAAUGAUCAAAGCUCAGCAGCAUUGAUUGUGCAAGGAGUUCUUAAUUCAGCAUCAGCUGGGAUUCUAAUUUACAUGGCACUUGUAGAUCUUCUUGCAACUGAUUUUAUGGACCCCAAAUUACACACAAGUUUCAAACUACAAGUGAUUGUCAAUGUAUCACUUGUCUUGGGAGCUUGUUGUAUGUCAUUAUUGGCAAAAUGGGGUGGGACAUAAUUUCAUAUACAACUAUAUUCCUAGCUAAAAUAUGUUAGUAUGGAGUACUAGUUUUUAGUUUCGCAAGAUUUUGACCAGAUAUUAUUUUAUUAGUAUAUCAACUUAUGUCAUCCCUUUGUGGUAUGAUUCCAUGAUUGUAAAAUAUUGAUCUUUUUGCACUUUUGCAUCUGUCAACUGUUAACAUGCAAUAAAGGACUGCACCAAAAAUCAAGUUGCUCUACUGUUAACUAUGUGCAAAAGAAUAAAUAAAUUAAAAGUAUAAUAUGGUUCGGUAGUCAAUUCCAACAUAAUUACAAGAAUGUCCCUAUAAAACCAUAUAGAGUGAAUUAGCCUAGUCCGUGAUACCCACAAAUAAGACUGAAAUUAUCGCGGAAGGUUGUGGUGGGAUCGAUAAAAUUCUUUCAUAUUAAUCAAUCGAGAGAUCUCGAAUUCUACCCCUAAAUACGUAAGUCAUGAUAGAGAACACUUCCUCCUCUAAAGCUUCUCAUUGAGAAGGACUUGAUUCGAACCCAAAAUUUCUGAUUUAGGUAAGACAGAGAGAGAAUAAGGACAACUUAUUUGGUCCUUCAACUAGUUUGUGGAAAGUGCAAAAGGGACAAACAUAGUUACAGUUCACUAGAACUAUGGAAAUGUAAAGCAACUUUACUUUACAGUCAAAAAAAUGAUAAAUAGGGAAAAAGGGUAUCCAGUGCUAGUGUUUACAUUUUUUGUGUGUGUGUGUGUCAAAUCUUCUACAACGAAAGAAUACAACAGACAACUGAAUAAAAUCCAAAUGUUAAAGAUAUUUACUUACUAAAGUAAUAGCAAUGGCGAUUGAGAAAAGAAUAUUUUAUUUGGCAUAUUUUAAGACACUACAUAAAAGUGUUACAAGCUGUAAUUUAAUUUCUCUAUCAGACAAAAGAAUACAGUUUAUCUAGUUCAGCAAGUGAACUCUUUAAACUAAAGAAGUAACAAUCACUUGAGAUAAAUUAAGUGGACUUAUUGUAAACAGAGGUAGGGCCAGAAUUCAGAGUUUAUGAGUACUGAAUUCGUCACCGAACCCGUAGCUCAUUCUUAAUUACUGGGUUCUCAAUUAAGUACAUUUAUACACAUUUAACGAAUUUUCCUAGUACACAUACCGUCUCUCUUCUUUCAUUUUUUUUACUAUAAUACUUGCUCUUCAGAAAGCAUAGCAGUAAUGCUUUAGCUGAGCACUGAAGAAUACAAAGAGUGGUCAAAAUUGAUUGUGCAACUUAAAUGUUGCUCUUCAUGAAUCCCAUUCAUCAAACCACAAAUCUAUCAAACAAACAAUUCACUUAGCAUAGCUACAUGACUAGUUAAAUCAAUAAUAGAGAAGAGCCAAAAGGCUUUAAUGAAAGGAGAUACCUAAGAGUAUAAAGCUGCUCAUUCUGUAAUGUUAAAGCAGAGCUUAGCCUCAUCCCAGGGGCCAUUAAUCUCAAACUUGUACUCUUGAAUCCUUAUCAGCCAGUAAGGACAAACCAAAUUAACAAAGACAAAGAUGCCCAAAAGCAAAAUGAAAAGCAGCUUAUGCAACCGGUAAGUGAAGAUUAGUGUCAGAACCAGUAACUGAAGGGAAAAGCAAAUAUGCAGCUUGAAAGAACGCUUCUUGACGCAAUAUGUAACUAAAGGAGCAAAGAGGAAAACCUGCAAGGAGAAUAGCACGAUAGCAAAGACAUGAAGCCGUGAUGGAAGUCGAGAAGAAAUCAGAAGUGAAGCUACGAUCGAAGCAUUCAGAGAGAUAUUGCUUGUCAGGGUUGGAUUAUCUAAAGCUCCAGGAGCCUUUACAGUGGACCCUGAGUAAUUGUGCAGGAAGAGAUGGAGUAUGAGAAGGGAAGCUGUUAGAGCCCAUAUAGAAUUUGAGCUUAUGGACCUAGUAAGUGUGUGGUAGAUAGGAGACAACAUGUAUAAGGCAGUUAUGAAGAAGGAAUUCUGUAGGAGAUAAUUGAGAAGGAGAUUGAAGGGUAUCAUGUCCGCAGUUAAGAGCAGAAUAAAGAAACCUGAUCCAAGUAGGCUAACAUUCAAUAGCAGAAGAUAUUUUUCCGUGAGGAUAUUUGUGAGUGUGUAGGUCCAAACCAAAACCACAAGGGCAACAAUGCAAAGAUAUUGUGAGAUAGAAACUGCGUCAAGCACCACCUUCAAUAAAUCUCUUUUGACAACAUUAGCAUUCAUGAUCAUUUCCUCCAGGAAGGAUUCAUCUGUGUGAUUGUCACCAAAGCCAGGUUGCAUCCCACCAUAAACAACUUUUCUCCACUUAGGGUGUGUUGGAGAAGAGGUACCGCUGAUGCUAGUUUCCAUUUGUCUCAUACAACUCUACUCCACGACAUCUGCGAGCAAUUAAAUGAAAGUCAUCACUAAUCAUUCUUAUAAUUCAUAAGACAAGUUCGAAAUGAAAAGGGGAAAACACAACAGAUAAUGCAAACUUGCUAAGAUCUAGAGCCAUGAAAUAUUUAAUCAAUAUUCACCAAUUGUAUUACGUUAGGGAUAAAGAACAUAACAAUUUAAGUAACUGGAUACCGUUGUUUAUUUAGUAAUUUUCAAGCUGAAUAAACACAAUGCAGACACUAAAUUUCACAUUGCAUUUAAAAUACAGAAAGAAGAUUCUAGCAACAAAAACUCUUUAUUUUGCAAUAUUUAUCUUUACAGGAUAAUUGAAUAAUACAAUCUAUGCCAUCCUGUUCCAUUAUGCAUCACUUAACCCCUCUUAAUUAGUAAAGCGUAUUCAUGAUAUCUUCAGCUUUUGGACUAGAGUAAAGCCUUUUAAGUCUCCCUCAAAGUGUAUCAUAUGACUGCCUUAUACUUAAAUGAGUUUUUUUUCCUUUUUUUUUAAUCAAUUCAUUUUUUUUGAAGUAAUUGUUAUAUUGACUGGCAUCAAGAAGAUGCUGAAAACAGUACAAAGAAAAUUAGGGAGAGCUCCUAGAUACAAAAACCUACAGAUAUAACUUGAGCCAUUUCCCUGAAUGUGCAAAAAGAAUGGCUGAUAAGCCAAAGACAAGGAACUAAUAAAAUCUACAAGAGGAAUAACAUUGUUUGCAGGGGUUAAAUUGCUCCAGCUGAAAAGAAACAUCGAACACUAAAACUUCAGAGAAAAGUUAGGAGUUGAAAUCCCAUCAAAACAUCUACAAUUUCUUUCCAUCCAGCUACUCCAAAAAAUGCAUGCUGGUCAUUUGCCAUAUCUUCUUGAUGGUUCUGUCAACCACCCAAUGGUUCCAGCUUUCCAUAGUUUCCUUCACAUUCCGCGGCACUACCCAACUUACCCCAGAAAUUGAUAAGAACAUGUUCCACAAAUCAGAUGCAACUGAGCAAUGCAAAAGUAAAUGGUUGACUGUUUCUGAGCUAUGUUGGCACAUAAAACACCUGUUUGCUAGUUGAAACUUUCUUCUGCAAUGGUUGUCUUGAGUUAGGAUUGCCUCCCUGAUGGCUGUCCAUGUAAAGCACAUGAUUUUAUUGGCGAUUUUAGUUCUCCAAAUCAGCUUCUAAGGCCAGUGUUCAGUCACUUCAUUUUACGCACACAAUUUACUAUAACCUGUAUUGACUGAGUAAGACCCCUUACUUGAAUUACCCCAUCGUAGCUUGUCACUAGCCCGGGAAUUUAUUGUGCAGUCUUCUAAAAUUCUGUAAAGAUCAAAGAUCUCCUCUAGUUCUCAAUCUUGCGAAUUUCUUCUAAGGAGGAGGCGCCUGCUCUAUUUUGUGCUACUGUGGAGUCAGGGUUCACAGCUAGUCGAUAGAGGUUUGGAUGAGAGAUCUCCAAGGGUUGGUCGAGAAGCCAUGUGUCAUUCCAGAAACUCACUAAAUUUCCAUUUCCAACUGAAAACGAGACAUCAAGGAAGAAAUCAUCUCUAAGCUUGCUUAUGUGUUUCCAAGGUCCAACACCAUGGGGAGCUGUACCUGUGCUGGUGCUCCUGUGAUUUUGUUUCCCAUACUUGGCAGUCACCACCCUUUUCCAAAGACUAGCAGUUUCUUGACCAUAUCUCCACCACCAUCUCAUAAGCAAGCUACUAUUGUGUUUCGAUAAGUCUUUGAUUCCCAAACCCCCCAAGUUUUUUGGUUUGAUAACCUGUGACCAGUCCACCAAAUGAAAUUUAUGACCUUCACUAUUGCCUUUCCAUAGGAACGUUCUCCUUACUUUAUCAAGAUGCUUCAGGACCUUAGAUGGUAUAGGAAAGAGGGACAUGAUGUAGGUAGGUAUACUAUCAAAUGGGCUAAGAUAUCACCAUUUAACCUCAAAAUGAUCCCCUCUAACUCCACGACUUGAUGAGCCCCUCUAGCCAAUGCCAAUGCCCCCCUACCAGGCCACCAACAUAGCCCUAAUACCCAGCUUUUUUAGCUGCCUGCCAAAAGCAUAUGCCAACCCACCUUUUUUUCAAGUUCGAAAUUUGAAAUAGAGCAAAAUUGUCUAUCAUUCAAGAAAACUAACUAGAUGGUAUCAUAAUAUUUCCACUUGAUGAUAACGUUUGAAUAAUUAUCACUAUAUUUUAGAAAUAUGCAGUGGUGGUGAUACUGAAAACCAGUAAACCGUAGUAAUAUCCUACACUAAUAUAGAUUGUACCGUCUACAACUGCUAUUAGUAAGGAAAUCACAAGCAGAAAGAAACAACUGUAUAAGCUCAAAUUACUACAAAUGCUCAACACAGGAGAUAAAGAGAACUCACAGAUCCCUUUAAAUUUUUAUUCAAUGUCUAUCUUGAGAGAGUAUUGGAACAAUACGGGCCAAAAUAGAGAAUGAGAUCAAUAACGAUGAUUCAUAUAGUUGCCCCUAGGGCUUUGGUCUAGUGUUAAGAGCACAACACGAUGUGUGAGUUAAGAAACAACAUUAUCAACCAAAAAAUAGGGCAGACAAAUCAACAACAACAAACCCAGUAUAUUCCCUCAAAGUGGGUUCUGGGGAGGGUAAAGUGUACAAAGUCCAUACCACUACCUCAGAGGUGAAGUAGAAAGGGUAGACAAAUCACAAAAAUAGAAAAUAAGACAAACUCCGCUGUUACUAGCCCUGUGAACUAAUCAUCAGAAGAAAGUUGAAAAAAUCAGGAUGAUGAGAAUAUUUUAGGGUGAAAGUUGAAUAUAUGACAUUUACGGAGUUACCAUAUUGUAUUGAUUUUGAGGUUAAUUUUUUCUAUGCCAAAGAAAAUACUUCUGGAGAGUAAAAUUGAUCUACAACAGUGUUCUGAAAAAAUUUGGCCAUGGUGGUUUUGGUUUUGGGGAGAGAAAUGACGAGGGGGCGACCCUACUGGAGUUUGCGAGGGCCUUUGGGCUGGUGGUGGUGAACUCGGGCUUCCCGAAGAAGGACGAGAACCUGAUCACCUUUCGAAGCGCGGUAGCCAGGACUCAGAUUGACUUUUUCUUGCUUAGGAAAGGGGAUAGGGCGUUGUGUAAGGACUGUAAAGUCAUCCCGAGUGAGAAUCUUUCGACCCAGCAUAGGCUCUUGGUUAUGGAUUUGGGUAUAAAGAAGAAUAGAAAGAGGAGGACUAAGGAGUGUAGACCGAGAAUUAAGUGGGGCAGCCUGACGACAGUGAAUGCGUGGGAGAUAGGGGAGAGGUUGGCGGGAAUGGGGGUGUGGGAGUGUAGGGGGGACGUGGAUAGUAUGUGGGACAGGGGGCAAGGUGCAUCAGGGAGAAUGCAAGUGAGGUGUUGGGUGUUUCUAGGGGCCGGGCCGGACAUCAUCGGGGGGAUUGGUGGUGGAAUGAAGAGGUGGGGAAGAAAGUGGAGACCAAGAAAGAGUCGUAUGCUAAGUUGGUGGAAAGUAAGGACGAAGAGGAGAAGCGGGUAAACAGGAAAGAGUACAAGCUAGCAAGGAAGGAGGCGAAGUCAGCGGUCACGGCAGCUAAGACGGCUGCUUUUGAGAGCUUGUAUGCAGGGUUACAGGGGAAAGGAGGGGAGAAAAAGUUGUUCCGACUCGCUAAGGCUAGGGAGAGGAAGGGUCGUGACCUCGAUCAGGUGCGGUGCAUUAAGGGGGAGGACGGUAGAGUGUUGGUGGAGGACGGCCACAUAAAGAAGAGAUGGCAGUCGUACUUUCAUAGGCUCUUGAAUGACGAGGGGGACAGAGCUAUUGUGUUAGGGGAACUGGAGCACUCAGGGGAGUGUCGGGAUUUUAGCUAUUGUAGACGUUUUAAGGUAGACGAGGUUAGACAGGCAGUCCGCAGGAUGCGAAGGGGUAGGGCGACGGGGCCGGAUGAGAUACCGGUGGAGUUUUGGAAGUUCGUUGGAGAGGCUGGUGUAAGGUGGUUGACUGCAUUGUUCAAUGAAAUUUUCAGGACAGCAAAGAUGCCCGAGGCGUGGAGGUGGAGUACCAUGAUCCCCCUCUAUAAGAAUAAGGGGGACAUUCAGUGUUGCAAUAACUAUAGGGGGAUUAAGUUACUGAGUCACUCUAUGAAGAUCUGGGAGAGAGUGGUCGAGGUGAGGCUGAGACGGAUAGUGUCUAUCUCGGAAAAUCAGUUCGGAUUUAUGCCCGGCCGCUCGACGACGGAGGCAAUUCACCUGGUACGGCGGUUGGUGGAGCAAUAUAGGGAAAGGAAGAAGGAUUUGCACAUGGUGUUCAUCGACCUAGAAAAGGCGUACGACAAAGUCCCCAGGGAGGUGCUUUGGAGAUGCUUGGAGGUGAGUGGAGUACCGCAGGCAUAUAGCAGAGUAAUUAAGGAUAUGUAUGAGGGAGCGAAAACCCAGGUGAGGACGGCGGGAGGAGACUCAGAGCAUUUCACUGUCCUGACAGGAUUGCAUCAGGGAUCUACUCUUAGUCCCUUUUUGUUUGCGCUAGUAAUGGAUGUGUUAACGCGGCGUAUCCAAGGGGAGGUGCCGUGGUGUAUGCUUUUUGCAGACGAUGUAGUCCUGAUAGAUGAGACGCGAGGGGGUGUGAACGACAAAUUAGAGCUGUGGAGGCAAACUCUGGAGUCUAAAGGGUUCAGGGUGAGCAGAACCAAGACAGAGUAUGUGGAAUGUAAGUUUAAUGACGUAAGGCGAGAGAAUGAGGUAGUGGUGAGGCUAGAAGCGCAGGAGGUAAAGAAAAGGGAUAAGUUCAAGUACCUCGGGUCCGUGAUCCAGAGUAACGGUGAGAUUGACGAGGAUGUCUCGCACCGUAUCGGGGCGGGAUGGAUGAAGUGGAAACUUGCAUCGGGGGUGCUGUGUGAUAAGAAGGUGCCGCCCAAGCUUAAAGGUAAAUUCUAUAGGGUGGUAGUCCGUCCGGCCUUGCUGUAUGGAGCGGAGUGUUGGCCAGUUAAGAACUCCCACACCCAAAGAAUGAAGGUGGCAGAAAUGCGGAUGUUGCGCUGGAUGUGUGGAUUGACUCGAGGGGAUAGAGUUCGGAAUGAGACUAUCCGGGAGAAGGUUGGUGUGACUUCAGUGGAGUGUAAGAUGCGGGAAGCACGAUUGAGAUGGUUCGGACACGUGAAGAGGAGGGGCAUGGAUGCCCCGGUCCGUAGGUGUGAGAGGCUAGCGUUGGAUGGUUUUAGGCGGGGUAGGGGUAGGCCGAAGAAGUACUGGGGCGAGGUGAUCAGGCGGGACAUGGAACAGUUACAGCUCACCAAGGACAUGACCCUAGAUAGGAAGGUCUGGAGGGCGCGAAUUUCAGCAGAGAAUUAGGGCCAGUUUGGGUCGCUAGUGUAGGAAAUUACUUGGUGGGGGUUUUAUUCCUGUUAUGAUUCCAUGUUCCGUGUUCCAUGUUUUAUUACGAAUCUGUGUGCUUUCCUCUGCUUUCCUCUGUUUUAUAUUACUUAUGGGUGCCGUAUUUAUGUUAUGUAAUCUGCUUCUGUGCUUUACUAUGUGUUUGUGUGGUAUCUCGUGUCUUGAGCCGGGGGGCUAUUAGAAACAGCCUUUCUACUUCAUCAGAGGUAGAGGUAUGGACUGCGUACAUCUUACCCCCCAGACCCCACUAGGUGGGAAUACACUGGGUUUGUUGUUGUUGUUGUUGUAGUGAUCUGUUCACAGAUAAUUUUCAACAAAUUCCACUUGCCUCUAUAGCUUCUACCUUAAUCAAUAAUCAUGUGUUUUCCUUAGUGUCUAUCAGAUUUGUAUUCUUGGUCGAGAUUUAAAUAAUAGUCAUUGAUAUCCAUCACAAUCGUUUUUUGAUGCAUGAUCUUAUCCAUAUUAUAUUAGAGAACUAAGAAACUGUUGAUUAACAACAUGACAACUAAAAUGUUAAGCAAAUCAAUCAAAUAAAUUUCCAGUGUACUGUUUAAAGCAAAUAAGCUCAAAAAUGUAGAUGGAAAAGACAUCAAUUCGGUCAUCUGACGGUGAGAGUAUAAUGCAGCAUGCAUAUGUGUAGGAUAGGAAUACUUUACCUUCUAAAUAAAAGGCCAUAUGUGUGAUAGAAAAGAAUCUUGACAAUGGAAACAAGGAAAAAGAUUGUGAAAGAAACGUUACUUUGUCAAAAAAAAAAAAAAAGAUUCUGAAAGAACUAUAGGCCAUGACAGAUGUAAAACCAUUUAAGACUCAAGGGAACCCUGCGACCAAAUGGCCUGAUAUGUAUGCCCCAAAACAUUCAAUUUACUGAAGAGAUUUCAGAUACAAUUUUGGCACGAGAGGAAACCAAAACACUGUAUGGUUUCAGAAGAUUAAGCUCAUAUCCAGUAACAUUAGCAAACUUAACUAAAUAACUAGAUUUGAAGAAUAGCGAACAACCAGGACUAUCAUUUAGCCCUGGUAGCUAUUACGCAAAUUCAGAAAUUGCGAAUUCUACUGAUGGCAUCUGGAACAUGUUCAACCAAUUCACAUGAACUUAAGGAAGAAUUUCCAUACGAGAAAGCCGCUUUAAAAGAAAUAAUUGAGGAAACAAGAAACGAUGUCCCUACGGUGAUAGAUUCCAGUUGAAAAGAGAGUUGCCAAAAUCUCAUAUAAAGAAAGAAACCCUGACGACUCUGUUUUCCAUAAAGUUUCAAGCGACUCCAACCAAGAAAAUUAAGAAGUUUGACACUUGUGGAGAUAUAGCAUGAAAAAACCCUUAGGAAUCUGUUUUCCAUAAAGUUUCAAGAGACUCCAACCAAGAAAUUCAGAAGUUUGACACUUGUGGAGAUAUAGCAUGUAACAUUAGACUCUUCUUUCUUUUUAUUAAACUAAAUAGUUUCAUGAAACAUUAGACCGUAAAACUGACGCCCAGUGAUGAUAAUACAAAUUUACUGCAGUAAAAGCCACACAAAUAUGAAAUAUGUCUACAGAUGGUUGUCAACCACAUCAUCCCGUGAACAAAAAGAUAGUUAAUUGGCACUUCUAACCUUCCUCAAAACGUAAUAACAACACUUGACUUCACAAGACAAAGGAACGUCUUCUCUAGUUGUUGCACUUGCUGCUUUUAUGUCCAUUAUUUCACAUAUACCUUGCAAGCGACAAGUUUUCUCCCUUUUUAUACCUCGCAUUUGAACUAUGGGUACUUUAUUUUUCAACAUCUUCUAGGAUGAUUCCCCAAGGCGGAUCUAGAGAUAAAGAUACGGAUUUAUCCAAACCCAGUAGAUUUGGCUCGAACCUAGUGUAUAUGUUAAAAAAAAUCUCUAAAUAAGUAAAGAUAAUUGACUAUAAAGUAUAAACCCAGUAAAUCAAAUGAACUAUGAUACAAUCGCGAACUGUAAACAACAAAAUUCAAAUUAUGAAUCCACUUCUAUUGUUUACUUGCCUUAUGGUCUAAAUAUAUCACAAAAUAUAGUUUAACAUCGCAUAACUUUUAUGAGCAUACACUUAGUUCAUAUGUCAGAUAUCUAAACCUUGUCCGUAUAUUAUCUUCCCGACAUUGAAGUACAUGAAAGUACAACAAAUGACUUUGAUCAAAUAGUAAAUAUAACACGCGGGCCCUGUGAGUCAAAUAUUGCAACGAUGUUUCACUCGAUUUUGUACCAUAUGUAGUUCAAUUUCACUGUUUUUACUUAACAUAAGACCAACGGAGCAACUGUGUGUUGCAUUCUCGUCAGUUGGCUCAGCAUAAGAAAAAUCAUUUGAAGCUCCGAGCAAUGAUAACGGAUAGAAAUGCUUAGUCUGUCUAUCCGUUAACAUUCAGCGUAUGCAGAAUUUGAAUUUGACUGAUUCAACCUUUAAAGUUCUUAUUUCCAUAACACUGAACUUUUUGGACUUUUGAUGUUAUAGAUUGGGUUCAAAACCUAAUAUUUGUAAUAUUGUAGUGAUUUUUCACAUAUUGAUACUCUAUGUGUAAUUACUGAUUGGGUUGAAUCCAUAGCUGGUAAGCUACAUCAGCUUCAUGGAAUCAUCCAGUAUAUGAAGACAAAUCUGCUAAAUCCAUAAAUCAUAAUCCCUUAAAUUCCAGAAUAUUUUGAAUAAUGCACUCAAAAUAUAUACCACAACCCCUUUAAAUCUACCAAUACUUAUAAACCCAACAACUUUAACUAAUUUAAUCACAUCCGGAUCAAAAAAAAAAAAAAUCACCAACAAAUUCUACAAGACAUAAUUAAAAAAGCAAGCAUUUUGUUUGGAACAAAAACAAAAACAUAAAAGCAAUAGAUGAAAAAAGUGAAAUUACCAUAGCAAGUAAACCUGAGAUUGGAUGAAAGCGCAGAAAAUACCUUUGAAUUGCUUCAAUUUUUUGCUUGUUUCACGUUGCGGCAAUUUUUUCUCGUAAAGAAGAAUAUGAAAAUAAUUUGUCACCUCUCUCCUCUCUUUUUCUUNNNNNNNNNNNNNNNNNNNNNNNNNNNNNNNNNNNNNNNNNNNNNNNNNNNNNNNNNNNNNNNNNNNNNNNNNNNNNNGGGGGGUGUAAGGGGCUGAAAAUUUUAAUUAUUACUUGCGAGUGUAAUUUCAAAAAUAAUAAUGGAGAGUAAAAUGUAUGUGAGAUCUUACCUCUGUCUAUGAUCAACUACCAGAGCGUCAAUAUGGGUCAGCCCGGUCUGAUCCUUAUUGAUGGAGUGGGCUUCAAUUUUUACAGUUCCUUUAAAAAUAGGAUUUUUUUGACCCAUUCAGAUAAGCUCAUGGGUCAUAGGACUUGAGAAAUGUAGGUUGAGCUAGCUCGUGGACUGAUCCAUCAGUCAAAUAAUAAAUAAUUUUAAAAUAAAAUACUAAAAAAUAAUAAAAGAGUUAAAAAACAAUCAAGUUCAAUGAUGAUCAUUGACCGGUUCCAUUAAAAAAAAAAUGAAAACUGAAAAGUUUCCUACUUUUCUAUCUAAUAAAUAAUUAAAUAUCUACCACUAAAACAUAAAGAGUACAUUGUACUCUUUACUUUCCUAAUUUCUUUAGUUCUACUAGCCGUUACUCCCUCGACGUGUCAUCGGCUUUCAACCAUGAUGUUUUCGAUUGAGUAGUGCCACCUCUUCAUUUUCUUCCUACUUUAGGUGAUUCAAGUUCUGGCUCCCUUUUGAUUAACAGACAUUAAUACUAUGUGUUAUUAUGUGAUAAAUAUUUAUGUUUAUUAACAGUGUAAAAUUAAAUUAUAAAAUAUUAUUUUUUAAAAAGAGGGCUGGCCCGUGAGGCCCGUAGCCCACAGGGUAAUAGCGUGGACUUGGUGGUUUUUGACCCGUCAUUUAAAUGGGUCAGUUCGGCCUGAUCCGUCAAACUCAAAGCCCGUAUGGUUAGCUCCGAAGAGUUGAACCAACCCGUAUUGUCAGCUCUAUCAAAUACUAAAGGUCAAACUAAUCAACAACCCCUGAACUUGACAUCAUCUUUCACUUUGACAUCUCAAGUGGAUAAUGUUCAUUUUAGACACCUCAACCAGCUAUUAACUAUGCUAUUUUGACACUUUUUUUACAGUCAGCUAAAAUUAUAAAGAGUGUAAUACACAUGCUGCUAACAUGACAUACAACCAAUUAAAAAAUAACACAUGACACUUUUUGUAUAAAAUAAUAAUUUUAAAUAAAUUAUAAUUAAAAAAUCUAUUUUUAACUAAUUAACUUAAAAAAAAUAAUAAAUAAAUACCCCCNNNNNNNNNNNNNNNNNNNNNNNNNNNNNNNNNNNNNNNNNNNNNNNNNNNNNNNNNNNNNNNNNNNNNNNNNNNNNNNNNNNNNNNNNNNNNCCACACACACAAAAUCACCCUUUUCCAAACACCCAGCGCGCUAUCCCCGAUUAUCUUCUCCAAAACACCCUUGCAACCCCACUCCCACCUUCAAAUCUUUUUCUUCAAAACACACAUCAAUAACGGUUGAAUUUAACAAAUUUAUUCUCACCAAUUUAAUUUAAUUUUAUCAAUUUUUAAGUUGAUAAAUGGAAGCAAUUUUUAAAAUAGGUAAAAAAAAGAAGUUGAUAAAUGGAAAUGGUGUAAAUGGCGAUUCUUAUGGAGAUGCCAUUUUAAAUGGGCAAAAAAAGAAGUUGAUAAAUUUUAAAUGGAGAAAAUGAUAAAUUUUCUAAAUGGGCAAAAAGAGAAGUUGAUAAAUGGCGGUUCUUUUAGCUGAUUGUAAUUUUAUUUAAAAAAAAAUUCUAAUAAAAAAAGAAGUUGAUAAAUGGGCAAAAUUGAUGUUUAAGAAAUAAAGGAAAGAGUAUAAAAAAAUGAAAGCAAUUAAAUAUUAUUAUUAUAACCAAGUUGGACGUCAUAUCGGAUAAAAAACAGUAAUCACGCGCCUAAAUGAGUGAAAAACACGCGAGCUGACACCUAUACAAAAAGUGUCAAAAUGACAUACUCGUAUACUGGUUGAGGUGUCAAAAAUGAACAACAUUCACUCGAGGUGCUAAAGUGAAAUAUUAUGUCAAGUUUAGGGGGCUGUCGAUGGGUUUGACCAAUACUAAAAUGACUAUAUUUGCAUCAUUUUUCUUUAUAAUUUUUUUGUGAUAGUCUUUGUUUGAGAUAACUAUUUAGUAAAUAAUAUCUACAUUGUUAAUAUUUAGAAUCUAAAUUUAAAUUUAAAUUUUUAUAAAAUAAUAUUUAUUUAAAAAGUGAGUUGACCCGUUGAGGCCGACUGGCGUGUUGGACUUGCUAUUUCAUGUAAUGGGCCAGUAUGAUCCGACCUGUCAAAUUCAAAGCCCGAUUGAAAUUUCACUAUAGUUAAUGCUUUCAUUUUCGUAUUUAUUUUUUCAAACUACUUGUAGAUGCGUUACUUGAGCCAAAGAUAGAUCGACGACAACUUUUUUAUCUCUCUUCAAACAACACUUAUGGAAUUCAUCUGAUACACUUCAGUAUUUGGUGCAAGUGCAUUCAAUCGAGUCCCGAGUAUGGAUGCAUCACAGGUGAAACAUAUUUUUUCUUUAGAUAAAUUUUAUGCGUUACAAAUUCAAUUCAAUCGAGCUUUAAUACAGGUACAAACUAAAGGAUUAAAAAAAAAAAUGCAUUCAAUUGCUUGUUUUUUCAUUAUUCUAAUCUAAUUUUCUAAAGAAAAUGUAUAAGCUAAUUUUUUUUUUUUUUUUUAAAAAUAUAUAUAUAAGUAGCCAGCUCUAUUAGGAAUUGGCUCCCUCCCUUUUUCUCCUGAAACCCUAACUCUCCAAAAGAGAGAGACAGAAAAAAACCCGUGUUCAAUCCCCAAAUCGAUUUCGGAACCCUAGCGGAUCGAUUUCGGAACCCUAGCAUUAAUUUCUUCCGAUUUGGUUGAUUUGGUAGGGAGAAAUGGGGAAGAAGAAGAAGAGAUCGUCGUCGGAUAAAGUAUGGUGCUAUUACUGUGACAGGGAGUUCGAUGAUGAGAAGAUUUUGGUUCAACAUCAAAAGGCUAAACACUUCAAAUGCCAUGUGUGUCAUAAGAAGCUUUCUACUGCUGGUGGUAUGGCCAUUCAUGUUCUUCAGGUUCACAAAGAAACCGUCAGCAAGUGCGUUUUUUCUCAUAAUUUUCUAGCUACAUUUUUAACGUUGAUGUAUUUCUUGUGAUUUAACAGUCUUUUGUUGGUGUUUUUGUGGAAUAUCUUUGUUCAAUAGGGUACAUUUUUGACAAUAGAAGGUGUUAGAGGCUGGAAUUAUUCGUUAGGUGUCUGAAUAAAAAGAAAUUGGCUAAUUAAGAGGCCGUCUUUGGGUUCUCUUGUUAUGAUAUCCCUUGAUCCAUAAAUGUCACUGGGGUUACUUGUUAAUAAGAUAAUAUUUUUUCGCCAGAAAAAGCAUCAUCUAAAGUAGGUGAGGUUUUUGGUUUGUAAUGUAGGGCAACAUCUCUCCGAAACUAUACAGAUAUAAUAUGCACAUGCUUGGAAUAUUUUCAUUUUUAUAGAAUUUGCCUAAUGGGAAGCUGCAGAAAGUGGUCAUUUGUUCUGUCUCAGAAGUUAAAUGUCAUGAUAGAAGAGUGUUCUGUAACCUGUUGAUGCAACUAAAAGAAUUGUGAAUUAUACUAAUUUGGGUAGAACAAAACACGAUGGAGGCAAGCUAUGUGUAUAGGUACCACGUCUAAUUAUUGAGUUUUGCAAUAAAAUGGGUCCCAUGGAGCAGAAUAGAUGUUAGGGGUUCAUAUAGUGGACCUCAACUAUUUUUAGAUGGAGACCAUUAUCGUUGAUGUUUUAUAUGGGUGCUUCUGAAGUUCAAAACAAGUUUGACCUUGUUUAUUCGACCCAUUUAUGUCUGCAAAAUUCCUAAAGCUUCUUGCCUGCUCCAGUUUCCAAGGAAUUCUUUCAGGAUGGAAUCCAAUAUGCCGAUAAUGUUUCAUGCUACACUUUUUUGUAUUUUUUUGGCAAUAAAUGUAUUAAGCUAGCAUAUUUGGCUGCUACAGGGUACCGAAUGCCAAAGAAGGCAGAGAGUCAACAGAUAUUGAAGUAUAUGGAAUGCAAGGAAUCCCACCUGAUGUCUUAGCAGCGCACUAUGGAGAGGAAGGUAUGAGCAGUAUUGCGAUGUGCUUAAAUUUUGCCUGUUUGAAAGACGUGGAGGAGCCAAUACGGUUUGCUGAAUUGUAGCAAGAAGAGAAGUUACCUUUGCUUUUGUGUCUUUCUUGUUAUACCAUUGCACUGGUACUAUUGAAUUGCUAUUCUCGUGGCAAAUGUUUCCUCAACUUAGAGGGGGACCUAUUAUCUACCGAUUUUCGAACCAUGCGUCAACCCUCUUCACUGGCCCUUGGAGAUUUCUUGAUUUAUCAAAAAAGAAUAUUUCCUUAGCUUGGUUUUACCAACUUAAAUCAGGGUGUUGAAAUUUGAAAUAAUGUUUUAGAAGUUCAGGAGUGCUUGUAUCAUCCAUCCCACACAGAUGCCCUCAUACUCCCGUGGGGAAAUCUGAAGAUUGUAUCUUAAUAUCUCUCUGCUGGUGGGUUUAAAUCUCUGAUUCAUUAUUGCCUCCUGGGUAUCUCUACUUCCGUAGAACCCUGUAUCAUUCAUAAAUUGGAAGCUUGUUUUUAAGCUUUUGGAACCUUGCAUCUUGCUUAACUAAUAGCCGUUGAUGUCUGAAUUCUUUGCUUCCUGUCCAUUGAUUUUAGGUGUUUAAAACUUUUUGCCUUUUGUGUUAUGAGUUUUUAGUGCUUCUUUUUAUCUCGUAUAUGAGUUAACAUGAGUUUAUUGCCUUUUCAGCUUUCCGCAGAUCCUUUCCUCUAUUACUAAUAUGUCGUUUCUGGAUUCUUGCUUUUAUGAUUACAUAAAGCUAAAUUUUCCCUGUUGGAUUUUAUUUUCCUGUAGAUGAUGAGAUCCCAGCAAAAACUGCCAAAGUGGACAUUCCAUCAUCCCAGUAUCUUGGUGGUGCACUUCCAGGAUAUCCUCCUCGGCCAACUUUUGGCGCAGUACCACCACUGUAUGUUUCCCCUGGAAAUGUUUCUUAUUCUUAUAAGUUUUAUGUUUCCUCAUGCUUGAAUACUUUAUGAUACACUUUCAUUUUCAUAUGCUGUUGCAUGAGUUUGCUUAUUUUAAAAACCUUUCCUUUUGUGUGCUACAUGCUAAAUCUUUGGAUAUGGAUGAGUUUUUUCUAUUUGCCAUAGAGAUUUGGGAUCCAUGAGAAUGCAUGCCCGCAUAUAGGGGUGUGCAAAAAGCGAACCGACCGAUAAACCGAACCAAUAAAACUGUUAUUGGUUUAUUGUUAUUGGGUUAACGUUUUUUAAUGAUUUUAUAAAAAAAAUUGUUGGGUUAUUGGUUCGGUUCGUUUUUUCUCAAUUUCUCUUUAAUUUCUAUAAAUUAACAAACCUAUUAUUUCAAUUAUACAAACUCUUAAAUUCUCCUAACAACAUUUAGUUCAAACAUGAAGAUUCUUGUAAAUGAAAAGCAGGAUUUUAGUUUUAUAUAUAUAUAUAUAUCUUAAUUUCUCUUUAAUUUCUAUAAAUUAACAAACCUAUUAUUUCAAUUAUACGAACUCUUAAUUUCUCCUAACAACAUUUAGUUCAAACUUGAAGAUUCUUGUAAAUUAGAACACAUCAUGCAGGAUUUUUGGUUACAACUAAGAUUCAAAUUUUUUUAUGUUAGUUACUACUAUUUCUAUUUAUAAGUAUUUUCUUAUCGGUUAAACCGAAAACCGAACCGAUAAGGACUAAAAACCGAUAAACCGAUAAAAAAUAUGUUAUUGGUUUAGCAUAUUUAAAAACUGAAAACCAAUAAAUCAAACUGAUAAUAUAUAAAUCCGAACUGACCGAUGUACACCCCUACCCGCAUAAGAUCCGGGACAUGGUCUCUUCAUUGUGUGCUUGAAUUGUGGAGUCUGUUCAUUUUAUUUUUUCUACCAGGAUAUGUUCUCCUUGAAUAACUUUUGUUUAAGAUGAAAUCUGUCAUUCAGUUCAAUUUAUCACUAUUAUAUUCUCCUUGAAUAAGUAUCUGUGGUCAAGUCAGAAUAAAUGCAGAGAAGCGUAGUAUUUCUUGAAAAGAGGAAAACAUUUUCAAUUUUAACUAGUCAACGACACAAGCAAUGUAUACAGAAGAACAACACAUCUAAUUCUUUUAAGAAGGUAAAUUAAAGAAUCUUUUAAUAUGGAACCCGUCCUGAGCAAAUGGAUUAGCAAAAAACGAGAGGUGAGCUCUCUCUUUGAACUGAAGUUUAGUUCUUUCUAUAGUUGACUUCUGAUCUUUUUGAGGACUACAACUUGCUUUUGCUUAUCAUCCGGGGUGGGGGUGGGGGGGUUACAUCUUGCUUUAUUUCUCUAUUCUAGGACUACCUACUGUUUCUUCCCCAUGUUAGUAGUAGUAUUAUUUGGUCAACCAAGCAAAAUAAUGAAAAUAUGAGAAGGAUUCAAGCUCAUUAUUAUAGUAUGAUGCAAAUAUCUCAGUUCUGACUUUGUUAUUGUGAUGCUGUGGCAUACCUAAAUUUAGUCGAGAUUUGGCCUAUAAAGAAUUUAACUGCUAGUUUUCAGGUGUUCAGCAGUUUGGCUUCCAGUAUUGAGAUAUCUAGCAUUCUGGCUUAUAGUAAUACAGAAAAUUGUCUCCAUUGUUGAGGAAUAGGAGUAACAAUCUGGAGAUUCCAUGUUUGAAUUCUUGCUUCAACACUUAGUGUGAAUCCAUUUUAUUGAGUCUUUGAUGUUCAGGGCUACCGACUUACCGGUAUGACAGCAUCUAUGCUUGUGGACCGUAAUUAGCUACCGGGAGGAUUAGUCAAAGAGCAUGCAACUUGAAAUAGUUUACACAGUCAUUAAAAAAAAGAUAUUAGGGAAAUUAGCGUUUGCAUUUAUAUCUUUUCGUCAACUUUCUCUUCUACAUUUUGUUGUUUUGACAUGCUUUGAAUUCUUGGCUGCUUUAGAAUUUUAAUCAGCAACUUUAAUGGUAUAUAAAGUCUUACUUGGAUCUGUCCUGUUUGGUGUAGUUAUAAUCCUGCUCUGCCUAUGCCCCCAGCUGGUUGGCCAGUUCCACCUCGGCCUUGGUAUCCACAGUAUCCUCCUGGCUCGGUUCCACCUCCUGCUCCGAUGAGUCUGCCGCAACAACCGUUAUUUCCUGUGCAAAAUGUUAGGCCUCCAAUGCCAGCCACUGCUCCGCCAACACUUGUUGCUCCUCCAGGGAUCCCAGCCCCACCUGUUCCAGUGUCUCAACCGUUGUUUCCUGUUGUUCCUAAUAACAACAACCUUGCGCAAAGUUCGCCAUUCUCACCGCCGCCGAUGUCAAUGAGUGUGCCAUUGAGCUCUGCAGCUGAAGCAAAGAGCUUAUUUGACCCAAACAUGGGCAGCAAUGCUCCUACCGCCAUUGGCUAUCAGACUUCAGGUAUUCAAGGUCUUGAGUUGUAAUGUCUUUAUCUGUUUUGUUUAAGGCCCAACACUUUCAACAUGGUUCCUGUUGGGAAUUUACUUAUUACUACCAUUUCGUGUUGUGCCUUGAGAUGGGAUAAGCAGCUCUGUUCUGAUUCUUUAGUGAGAAGUAGUAUUCUUUGAUUGUUUUGGAAAGGAACAAGGCAUGCUUUGAGGGGUUGAGGCUGCUGGUACCUAGAGUUAAAAACAAAUGCACCAAGAACCUGUAUUUUUUGGUUUUAUCGUAGUACUCUUGAUAGGAUAGAUAAGUAUUUGGAUUUUUUGCACUUAUUAGGGGAAAAUAUGUACUCCCUCCAUCCCAUUUCAUGUGGCACCAUUUGACUUGACACGGUGUUUAAGAAAAAAAGGAAGACUUGAAACUUUUCUGGCAGAAAUGCAAGGUAAGACUGCGUACAAUGCACCCUUAUGGUGGGGCCCUUCCCCGGACCCUGUGCGUAGCGGGAGCUUUAGUGCAUCGGAUUGCCCUUUUUGGUCUAAAACAAUCAUUAGAUAUUUGUAUCGCUCUAAAUCAUUUCAUUAUAGGUAAAAGGGGAAUUUUAAAGUUAAAUUGUUUCUAAUUAUAGUAAGGUAACAUUCUUUUUGGAAAGCUAUUUGAUUCUUCAUUUCUCAUCCCAUUUACUCUUUCUGCAGCCCCAGUACCAGUAAAUUCACAUUCUUAUGCCUCUGGCCCAAAUACUGGUGGACCCUCAAUUGGUCCACCACCUGUUAUUACAAACAAAGCUCCAGCUAAUCAACUAGCAACGAAUGAGGUCUACUUAGUUUGGGAUGAUGAGGCCAUGUCCAUGGUCAGUAGUGUUUGCAUUUUCAUUUAAUUAAUAUCUAUCGGUUAAUUUGUGAUACUGAGUGUUGAUGUGAAAUAUUUGCAGGAGGAAAGAAGAAUGUCCUUGCCAAAGUAUCAGGUGCACGAUGAGACUAGCCAGGUAAGUUAUAAUUACCUAAUACUAGCAUUUGUUGCUAUGGAUUUGGACUUGUGUUGUACAUUUAUCCAGAUGGUUGGUGUUAGUUUCAUAUCUCGGAUUCAGUUGUUUACUAUUCUUUCAUAUUCAUAAAGCAAAUUUGUAAGUUUUUCCAUUCUCCUUCAUCUUCUUGGAAGUAGCUCGUACUCUUGGAUGAGUAACUAAUAAUCGAUCAAUUUAGUGUAUGAUUCAACCCCAUUAAAUAAUGGGCUUCUUUUAUCUUCUUUUGGCCAUUCUCCGGUUGGCAAGCAAUCCCAACAAUUUUGUGGUCAUCAAAGAUUCAAGUAUGUAUCUUUCUAUAUCUUUUGCUGGUAGUUAAGUAAUGGCAUUUCUGACUACUAUGCUGCCAUCUGCUCAAGGAAUCUCAGCAGAGUGAAUGUAUUAGUUCUUGGAAAUUUCCAUGUUCUCUUUGAGCUUUACUUUGACCUUGAAAGAGUUGGCUUGCGUGUGCAAGCAUAGACCCAACAGAUGUUUGCAAAUUACUAUGAUUGUUUAUAGAUAUUUAUGGUCGAACAGUGGUUCAAAUUUGGCCCAGGUCAGAAUCUAUUGUCAUUGAAGUAGGCUAUGAUUUUGACUCGUACAUUGUGCUGAUUAGCUAACCUUUUCACGCUUCAAUCCUAAAAUUUCCUGUCUGUGUUUUCUUCUUUCAGAUGACCUCUAUAGAUGCGGCAAUAGACAGAAGAAUAUCAGAAAGCAGACUUGCAGGGCGCAUGGCUUUCUAGACCUGAUCGUUUAGCUCUGGUUGGAAGGGUGCUCUCUCAGUCGUAGGAAAUUGUUUAAACUUAACAAAAUUCUACUUCAAAAAAGAAGUCUGCCUGUUCUGGAUUCAUAGGAGGUUUAGUUGUUGUAUUCUUUAGGAACAAAUAUUUACGCCAGGCAUUCAUUUUACCUAGACAUAGGAAUAUGGAAAAUGUAGCAGAUUGUCGUUGUGGGUUAGUGAUACAGCCGUGUGGUUUAUCUGGGGUAUGUAACCUGUUGUGCAAUUCGCUUUCAGGGCAUAUUCAAUUUAUUUGAGUAAAUUUUUUCUGGAUAAUCAUCUUUGAAUACUGAGGACUUGGGCAAAUUCCUCAUAUAUCCUGAAGUGGUAGUGGGGGGAGUCAACCCCACGGCCCACGGUUCCCAUAUUUUGCAGAAAAAAUAGAGGAAUGAAUGUAUAGACUCAAAACCUGUGUCGGCUCAAGAUUCCCAAGGCAGGUAGUGAGAUAGACGAUUUGCUGUAAUGAUUCUUCUCUUUUCAACUGUAGUGUAAAAUGCCAUUGAUAUGUGCGAGUUCGGUAUGCCAAUUUAAGGGAGUUGUGAUCCUGUCCACAGAGACGCAGCUACAUUUAAAGCUUAUAUGAGUUUGGUAUCCUAUUCCUUCUAAGUUGUAAGUUGUUGGGUUACGCAUUCAACGAAUGUUAUAACAACAAAAACAGGGUUUAACCAAAAUUUUAGGGUUUCGGCCAACUACAUCUCAAAUCAUACAAAUUUCUCUACUUUCAAAUCUCACACGUUGGAGUAUUUUUCUAAUUUGCUUCUAAAAAUGAGGAAAUUUUAAUUUGUGGCUUUUGAUUCGAAACUGUGCACGUUUGAUUCCUCAGGCAGUGCAAUCUUUUCCCGAAUUUGCGAUAAGCUUUUCCCCUCUGACGCGAAUGGAAGCUUGAUGAAAAAAAAAAGAGAGAUGAAAAUGGCAUAUUACGAUGUUAUUUUAGGACUUUCAAAUUAAAAAAUAUCUACAGAAUUAAUAAAAUAUAAUUAAAAGGUGUGCUGGUAGGGUAAAUAAAUUAAAUUAUUAAUCUCUUACAUAACUAAAAAGAAUAGAUAAAAAGAUUUGUUACAAUUUACAAAUCCAAAUAUUAAUUCAAAAAAACAAAUGUAAUAUCAAGGGAAGUGUUUUUUUUUUUUUUUUUUAUUAUCAAGGUAAACACGAGGGACAUUAUUUUUUUCUUUAUAAUAAUGGUGGUGUUUGGAUUAGUAUUUUUUGCAAUCCAUUACAACUAACAACUUGUUUGGGCAAACUUCUAAAGUCAACUUAUUUUAAUUAUUAUUUGUUUAAAAGUGUUUUUUAUGGUAAGAAGUUUUUGUGUCUAAUCAAUAAAUUCAAAAGUAUUUUUGAGCAAUAAUUAAUAUUUUUUCAAGCUUUUUAAAAUUAUUUUUCGUCCAAAUGUACUUUUAUUAAGAAGACUAUUUUUUUUAACUUCUAAAAAACUGCUUCUUGUAUUCUCCAAAAAUACUUAUUUUUCUCUAAAAAAUGUAAUCAAACAAUUCACUUUUAAAAAAUAAAUAUUUUUUUUUAAAAAAUAAACACUAGUCAAAAUACGUAAACUUGACCAAACAAGCAGUAAAAAAAAUAAGUCAAUCUUUUUUUUUUUUUGUGUAUUCAGUAAGAUUUGUACCCGCGACGUUAAGUUUCUUCGCACUCCACUUUGUUAACCAUUGGCUCACACCUUAUGCUCGUGAAUGACUUUUACAACCGCCCAAGUUUUAUUAGUUAACCUAAUUUAUAGAUAAUUUUCCCUCCGAUUUCACUUUCCCCUGUUCCCUCUCCUCGGCCGGCGAUUUCAGCCGGUUCAUCAUCUUUCUCACACACACUUGGACAAAGCCAAACCACCGACAGUCCGCCACCGUCGCCGCCGUUCCACCUCCUCCGCCAUAUCUCUCGCCACCAGUCACUGUAAGUUGAUCGAGUUCUACCAAUUGAUUUUUACAUUCAUGUUACUAUUAGGAUUUCCCUGCAAAAAUGUCUAGCUUUGUCUCAAAACUUCGACGACAUUUUGAUUUUUCUUGAGUUUGUAGAGUAAAGAUUUUGUAUGAAUUUGUACAUUCUGCUUACGGAGUUGUUUGACAUGUGAAUUAUAAUGCAUUAAUGAUAUCCAGAGUAAGGGAAAAGUAGAAUUUUGGCAUUAUAGUUUCAGUAACUGUUAACUCAGAUUUUUUUGAUAGCCGUGGUGUGUGGGCCAACUUGUGCUCAGCUCGACUAAUUCCACAGGUCCAUGAGACAACUGUCACCUCUCACCACUCUGUCCGCCAAGGUUAGGACAGAUGUGAGGAAAUUACCUAGUGUUGUUUUGUUUUUGUUUUUGUUGGGAUUUGAACGUGAGACUUUAUGGUGUUCAACCACUUACAUUGACAACUAGGCCACACCCUAGGGUGCAAUAACUGUUUACCUAGUUUUGGGGAUUUUUCUUGCACUUGAAUAGGCUUCAAUACAGAUUUGGGAUUUUUGUUCUUGAGUAUCUUCAUAAAUUCGGGUGUCAAAUAGGUGCUCCGUGUUGUUUAGUUAUUAUCCUACCUUCCGUCAUGGCAUGCGUUUACCUAUCUUUCAACUUUUCAGUGCUGCAAUCUUAUAUUGUUGAGCUUGAACUGUUAUAGGGUCUAUAUUUGACAUAGCAUGACAAGCAAUUUAUUUUGUUCCUAGCCUUUUAAAAAAUGAUACAGCUGUUGUUUAAAUAUUAUUGAAAAGAAUUAUACUUUGUUCUAGGCUGUCAUUAUCACUAACUUUUUCUGCUUGAUUGGUUUGUUUAUAUAAACUGAGAAGGCGAAUAACCAGAAGUGAAGUCCAAAAUAAAUCAAACCAAUCAAAUGUGUAUGCUGUUUGGACCAUGUAAAUAGUAACAUGUAUAGAUUUGAGUAGCUGGCGCUCGAACCUCCAAAUCCUGGGCGCCUUUGCACAUGCACAAAACACACACAGACGCAAAUACAGAAUGCCAAUGGACAUAUCAGUUUUUGUAUAUUUAUUGAAAUUUUCUUGGAGAAAGAACCAAAAUUUGGCGGAAAUUUUUGAGAGAGGUCCCGAGAUAUAGACACCCAAAAGGCCCAAACUUCUUUCUUUUACCGUACUGAUAAAAACUUUGAGGUGAUUGACAAUACUGGGUGCAGUUUUUAUUUUAUUUUGUUAUCCAUGAAAAUUAUUACGUUACUAUGGAUUAGGUGAAACCCAUCUAGCUUUGUACAUCUCAUAUUGCAGUUAGUAGUAAUAAUUUGAUUUUUGUAAAGAUUGCAUUAGUUAUUUUUCUCCUCAUAUUAUCUAGUUAUAUCUCGGUGUUGGACUGUGUAUUCAUAGACCAUUUAUCGUGUAUGUUAAUAUCCUCUAGUUGUAUUUCGAGGGAGAUUCACCGUAAUGAGGUGCAAAGUGUUUCGUUCUUUGAGGAGGGGACAGGGGAUUAGCUUUAGAGUAAGCAUUCUUUUUCUGUGAUUUAGAUGAUCUAGUUUUAGUUAUCAUUUUUGAACUUUACCUAUGUUCUGAAUUAUUUAUGAUUUAUGAACAUCGUCUCCUUUGUUUUACUAUGAGCUCUUUUUUUUUUGGUUCUUUUAAACUCUUUUUAUGUUCUGGUUCAGUCUCGGCCUUGAAAAUUGUAUCUACGGACCAUUGAAAUUAUGUGGCUUUGUUUAUAAUUCGGAACUUGAAAUUCGGCUAAACACAUACUGAAGUACUUAAAACUUGGUACGAGAAUCUGCUUAGGUACCUCAAUUUUCACAUUUCCCAUUUAGAUACUCGAACUACAUCCCAAACGUAUCAACUCUCUCUCUCUCUCUCUCUUUCUUUUUUUCAACUUUUUUUAAAACCCAAGUGUCCUUUCUCUUCUCUUCUUCAAUACAUAAACCCUAGACUUUAUUUUCUCCUAAUUCAAUCUGCACUCCCACUAAAGAUGAGAAGCCAUGUGGUUUAUAUCUUCUACUCUCUAUUUUAUCCAUUUCUAUACUGAAAUUGCAAAGACAAGCUGGUCAGAGACCUUGUUCGUUCCUCACAAACGCGAUUAUCCGGAUUUGGCUUUUUGUAUGAAUUGGAGAACUCCUAUCCACCAUCAUCACACACUUCGAAGAUUGGUGCGAAACCCAGAUUUCAAAUCCGUUGGCUAAAUAAUAAGUGGAAUGAAUCGCAGUCGUGAAUUUAUGCUGAAAUUCUUGAUUAAAACAUUGCUUUGUCACUUUGGGUUGAAGAAGUUUAGAUGAGAAUUUGAAGACCUCAAAGUUCAUUUGAAGCUUCGUGCGAAAAAAUUCCAUCUCUUGCUGUCAAUUGUUAUAGAGCUUGACUUUGGAAUUGAAAUUGUUUGGCUUGAACUUGUGCGAACAUCGAGAUUACUGGCUGUUGGAUGGACAUUUUGAUUCUUCAGCUUGAUGUACAAUCUCGAAAUCAGAAAAUUGUUUGGGCCCUGGAGUGGAUUGGAGAUUCCAUUGAAGUCUAUUUGAAAUCUUCAUCUGAUUCAACGUAGGAACUUUUCACGUGCUUCUGUUUUAUUGGCCACAUUAGCUUGUGAACUACACAGCCCUUUUGCAUUUGAUUGCAAUUGUGUUUUAAGUGACACUUGAGUUGUAGUUGGAGUGUCUAAAUGGGAAAAGUAAAAGGAGAGGUACAUAAGCAGAUUUCCGUGCAAAAUUUAAGUGUCCGCAUAUGUGGUUGGCCUUGAAAUUUUACAAAAGAGAUAAUCACAUGCUCUUUUAAACUCAUUUUAGUGGUUACAAUUUCUCUUAUCAUUUAUGUUCUUUUCAGUGUUGACAGUAAGUUCAUGGACCUUUUAGAUGACAUUUUUGCCGGUGGUGCUUCAAAGACUGGUAAGUGGGGAGAAAAUGGGUUUUUCGGUCUGCGAUGUUAUUUAUUCUUAUUAUUUCAAGCUUUUGCUUUGUAUUGUUAUUGGAUGCAGUCAAGGCUGGCGGCAAGUUUCAACCCAAGGCGAAGCCUCGUCCAGUGAAAAAAGGUCCAGCUGUUGCGUCCUCAGCUGUUUCUUUGACGUCAAAACCCACCGGUGAUACUGUAGCAACUGAUUCCUUUGAGGCUCUUAAGACUGCAAAGAAUUCUCAAAAUUGUUAGCUUCUUGCCUUUGUGUUAUAUUAUUAUUCUUACCUUUUCCGGAAUAUAUUGUUGCUAGACUUCUUCAAGAAUGGUUUUCUGUUGUUAAAUGUAAGCAGGCUAUGAACAAAACUAUGUGUCAGCAGAACCUUCCUUGGAGCAUCCUCUUAAGGCGGAAACUUUGGGUCCAUCUGUUGGUUCAAGUCUAGAUGCAAGUAUGGUAAUGACCGAUACCAAUGAAGAUUGGAAAUCUUGCUUUGAAAAAUCUGAGGGAGAGGUGAUAGUUUCUUAUUCAUAUUUUGAUCUCGUUAACAAACCUUUUAUAUCCUUAUUAAAGUUCUUUAAUUUUCAGAAUGCAGACAUAUAUAUAGGUCUGGAUUCGUUUGAUGAUUUACUUCCUCACUCAAGCGGCAUAGGUUACAACCAUUCCUCUUCUGUUCUCUUAUUGCUGAAUUUUCCUACAUAUUUCUGUCAAUUGGAAUCUCUUUGAGCCGACGGUCUUUUGGAAACAGCCUCUCUACCUCACAUAGGUAGGGGUAAGAUCACCCUACAUUCUAUCCGCCUCAGGCCCCACUUGUGGGAUUACACGGGGUAUUUUGUUAUAUUGCUAUCAAUUGGAUGCUGCAAAUGAGUUCACUUCUUUUUGAAUGAUUGGCCUUUUAAAGAUUAAGUUAUUAAAACUCUGUGCUGCAUAUAAUGCAGAGAGUUCUACUCCUGCUACAGAUCCAUCUGCUGUUCAUGUUGCUGGUGCAGAGAAGCGACAAGAACAGUUUUUAGAUCCAGCUUCUUCAGUUGACGAUUCAGCUCCUAGUGCCUCCCAUCUUCAAUCUGAUGAAGUUGCAGCAGCCCAAGAUCCAUCAACUUUCCAAGGAAGUGUUCUUCCUGUUAGUGGAAGUUGUCAGAUGGUCAAAUUCAUGCCUUUGCCUUCUUUUUACUCUGAGUAGAGAAGCAUUGACAUUUAAAUUCCUUGUCACAGUGAUGAAAACUCCAGCUUUGUCUUUUGCAGGAGAUGGACCCCUAUCCUUCCCUGGAAUCUGAUAUCCUUGGGGUAACUACUAUAUCUGGUAUGACUGAAUUUUCAGGUUCCUGCACUUUUAUGCUAUUAUAUCCUGCACUUCUUUUAAAUCACUAAUCCUUAUUCAGGGCAGAGUAGAAGAUUCCAACCCAAGCCCAAGCUACGAGUGUACAGAGAGAGAUAUGAUACAAUCAUUCCUGAUUCAGAUGUAGGCGACUCUGUGUCAAGUCAGCCAGAUUCACACUACGUUCAUUCUGAAAUGGGUUUUGUGGAUAAUGGGAAGGAACAUGAAUUACCUGCUGCCGUUGUCCUUGAUUCCUUAGCCAGAGGAUUUGAUAACAAUAUUAUUACAGAAUCUGCGCAUGAAUUUUCUGUGCAUGAAGAAUAUGUUGUGGAGGCCUCUCUUCCAGAUUCUGGCAUCCCAGCAAAACACUCUGAGGCUACUGUUCAGAUACCUGAGGAACCUGUAAAUCCACAACUUGUUUUUUCAAAUUGUUUCAGUUAUUUCUCUAAUUUUUGCAUUAGUUUGCCUUGUUGGAGUUCUUUGUUCCACUUCUUGACCCACUUGCAACUUUCUGUUUAGGUAUCUCAGAGGCCAAAGACUAAAAAACAAAAAGUACGUGCAUCUAAUCUUUCUGCAAUUAGCGAAGAGAACAGAGAGAGUAGAUCAUUAAGGAGUAGAAGAAAGUCUGUGAAUGCAAAUAGACUAGUAGAUGAGUCCGAAGAAGUAAUUGAUGAUGGGGAAUAUGUGCCUGAACAUCCUAAUGAUUCUGUUACAAAUGGGAAUGAUGAUGAUGUUCUGGUGGAAAAUGACUCACAAGGGGAAACGACACUGAAGAGGUCCAAGAAAACAGUUACUAAGGAAGGAAAACGAGUUAGGAAGAGUAAAAAGACCGCCGAAGCAUCUGAUCAGGUAGCCAACAAGAAGCCUAAAAAGUUUUCUCAUUCCACUCGUCAAAAGAGGAGAACAGGUAAGCCUAGUGGGUAUUGCUGACAUCUGGCGUAAUUAUGGUAAUGAACAUUUUUAACCAGGAAUAUCCUUUUUUACAGUGGACAAAGCUUUGCUUGAGGCUCCUGAGGAUGAGAUUGACUAUUCAAAGGUGCCUAUUAAGGAUAUAAUUUUAUUUNNNNNNNNNNNNNNUUAAAAAGAGGAAAAUUAAAAUGAUUUUUUUUUGUGACACAGUCGUCCUUUAUUCUUUUGUUUCCUUGCAGAAAAAAGAUCCAGCAGCGUCACAGAUACCUACUACAGAUCAGAGGUAUCAGAAGCUUAUAUACAAUUAAAUAUACUAAUCUGCAUUUAUCAUUGCUUUAUUUGUGAAAAAAAAUACUAAUCCAUGUUUAACCAUAUGCUUAGGCAUUUUUCAUUUACUGCACAGUUUAAAUAAAUUUGUUCUUGUUGAUAGUGAAAAUGUAGGUGAUGUGUAUAGGUUAUUAUUGGCUCGAUACAUUCUAGUCUCCAUUCAAAAUGUCUGCUUCUCUCAUAUCAGAUCCAUUUCUAACUAUCAAGAGCUGCACUGGUCUUUUUUAUAUUGCCUACAGCAGAUAAUGUGUGUAGGUUAUUUUGGCACUAUACAUUCUAGCCUCCUCACUAUGUGGGAAUAAACUGGGUUUGUUGUUGAUACAUUGUAGCCUCUAUCCAUAAGGUCUGCUUCUCUCAUAUCAGGUCCAUAUUCUAACUAUUCGAGGGCACCACUUGUCUCUUUUAUAUUGUCUACAAUCUCAUUCUUUUCUUAUAGAACUGUUCUAGCUUACUUGUCCAAGCACUUUUAUCCAAAUUAUGUGUAUAUUCCUCCCUUAUGUCCGUUUGCCUCUGCUAUUCCUCUUUUUCUACGCCACAUUGACCAAGUGCACCAUCUUCUUCAACCCUAGCAUCAUGAUUGUUCAAGAAAUGGUGAAGUGGCAUUUGCUAACUCUAUUCAAUCUUUUUUUUAACCCAGCCUGAUGACCCGGA